AGGUCAAAUCAUCAUGCCCCUUACAUCUAGGGCUACAGGCGUGCUACAAUGGCUGGUACAAUGAGACGCAAUACCGCGAGGUGGAGCUAAUCUCCAAAACCAGUCCCAGUUCGGAUUGGAGUCUGCAACUCGACUCCAUGAAGUUGGAAUCGCUAGUAAUCCUGAAUCAGAAUGUCAGGGUGAAUACGUUCCCGGGUGUU
RNAcentral lists this ribosomal RNA (200 nucleotides) under uncultured prokaryote. RNAcentral describes it as "partial 16S ribosomal RNA". It matches the Rfam family "Bacterial small subunit ribosomal RNA", at positions 1182 to 1382 of the family's 1533-position model. The record is from RNAcentral.